AGAGUUUGAUCCUGGCUCAGAAUGAACGCUGGCGGCGUGCCUAACACAUGCAAGUCGGAUGUGCCGCAAGGUGCAUGGCAGACGGGUGAGUAACGCGUAGGGAAUUUACCUCUUUGUGGGGAAUAACGCUCCGAAAGGAGUGGUAAUACCGCAUGAGACCGAGUGCUGGGAUGCAUUCGGUGAACCCUGGGGACCGCAAGGCCUGGGGCAAGGAGAGGAUCCUGCGUCUGAUUAGCUAGUUGGCGGGGUAAUGGCCCACCAAGGCGACGAUCAGUAGCCGGCCUGAGAGGGUGAUCGGCCACACUGGAACUGAGACACGGUCCAGACUCCUACGGGAGGCAGCAGUGGGGAAUUUUGCGCAAUGGACGAAAGUCUGACGCAGCAACGCCGCGUGGGUGAUGAAGGUCUUCGGACUGUAAAACCCUGUCGUCAGGGACGAAGGUG
RNAcentral lists this ribosomal RNA (444 nucleotides) under uncultured bacterium. RNAcentral describes it as "bacterial SSU rRNA". It matches the Rfam family "Bacterial small subunit ribosomal RNA", at positions 8 to 453 of the family's 1533-position model. The record is from RNAcentral.